Molecule: ribosomal RNA, 493 nt
Filed under: uncultured bacterium
Lineage: Bacteria
Description: partial 16S ribosomal RNA
Rfam family: Bacterial small subunit ribosomal RNA
Source: RNAcentral
AUUGAACGCUGGCGGCAUGCUUUACACAUGCAAGUCGAACGGUAACAGGUUAAGCUGACGAGUGGCGAACGGGUGAGUAAUGCAUCGGAACGUGCCCGGUCGUGGGGGAUAACACUUCGAAAGAAGUGCUAAUACCGCAUACGAUCUGAGGAUGAAAGCGGGGGACCGUAAGGCCUCGCGCGAUCGGAGCGGCCGAUGUCAGAUUAGGUGGUUGGUGGGGUAAAGGCCCACCAAGCCGACGAUCUGUAGCUGGGCUGAGAGGACGACCAGCCACACUGGGACUGCGACACGGCCCAGGCUGCUACGGGAGGCAGCAGUGGUGAAUUUUGGACAAUGGGCGCAAGCCUGAUCCAGCAAUGCCGCGUGCAGGAAGAAGGCCUUCGGGUUGUAAACUGCUUUUGUACGGAGCGAAAAGGCUCUCUCUAAUACAGGGGGCUGAUGACGGUACCGUAAGAAUAAGCACCGGCUAACUACGUGCCAGCCGCCGCUGUAA